CAAGGCGUAGCUAUAACAAAAAGCAUUCAGCUUACACCUGAAAGAUACCUGUAACUAACCAGGUCACCUUGA
This 72-nucleotide transfer RNA is filed under the name Urodynamis taitensis (longtailed cuckoo). RNAcentral describes it as "tRNA-Val". The record is from RNAcentral. Lineage: Eukaryota; Metazoa; Chordata; Aves; Cuculiformes; Cuculidae.